GUCCCAGUUCGGAUCGCAGGNUGCAACCCGCCUGCGUGAAGUUGGAAUCGCUAGUAAUCGCGGAUCAGCAUGCCGCGGUGAAUACGUUCCCGGGCCUUGUACACACCGCCCGUCACACCAUGAGAGUCGGGAACACCCGAAGUCCGUAGCCUAACCGCAAGGGGGGCGCGGCCGAAGGUGGGUUCGAUAAUUGGGGUGAAGUCGUAACAAGGUAGC
This 216-nucleotide ribosomal RNA is filed under the name uncultured bacterium. RNAcentral describes it as "partial 16S ribosomal RNA". It matches the Rfam family "Bacterial small subunit ribosomal RNA", at positions 1285 to 1500 of the family's 1533-position model. The record is from RNAcentral.